Molecule: ribosomal RNA, 476 nt
Filed under: uncultured bacterium
Lineage: Bacteria
Description: partial 16S ribosomal RNA
Rfam family: Bacterial small subunit ribosomal RNA
Source: RNAcentral
GAUGAACGCUGGCGGCGUGCUUAACACAUACAAGUCGAGCGAGUGAGUUUUUCGGAACGAUCUAGCGGCGGACGGGUGAGUAACACGUGGGCAACCUGCCUCAUAGAGGGGAAUAGCCUCCCGAAAGGGAGAUUAAUACCGCAUAAAAUUAUCGAGUGGCAUCACACGAUAAUCAAAGGAGUAAUCCGCUAUGAGAUGGGCCCGCGGCGCAUUAGCUAGUUGGUGAGGUAACGGCUCACCAAGGCGACGAUGCGUAGCCGACCUGAGAGGGUGAUCGGCCACAUUGGGACUGAGACACGGCCCAGACUCCUACGGGAUGCAGCAGUGGGGAAUAUUGCACAAUGGGGGAAACCCUGAUGCAGCAACGCCGCGUGAGUGAUGAAGGUCUUCGGAUUGUAAAGCUCUGUCUUUGGGGACGAUAAUGACGGUACCCAAGGAGGAAGCCACGGCUAACCACGUGCCAGCCGCCGCGGUAA